Molecule: long non-coding RNA, 8416 nt
Organism: Mus musculus (house mouse)
Lineage: Eukaryota; Metazoa; Chordata; Mammalia; Rodentia; Muridae
Product: predicted gene, 35599
Exons: 11
Source: RefSeq, a predicted model, not a curated record
UCUGUGUGUAUAUCUGUGUGUGCAUAUAUAUGUGUGCAACACGUGUAUACAUGUGUGUGGAGUCCUACAGUUGACGUCAGUUAUCUUCCUUUAACAUGCUCUACCUUAUUUUAUUUUUCUUUUGAGACUGUAUUUCUUACUGAACCUGGAAUUCACCAAAUGGCUGGACUGACUAGCCUGUACAGUUUGGCAUUCUCCUGCUUCCAUCUCACCAGCUCUGGGGUUAGAAGCACACUCUACACCUGGCUUUUUGCAUGGGUGUUGGGGAUCCGAAGUCAGGCCUUCAUGAUUGUGAGUCUCUUGUGACCGAGUGAAGACUGGGGCUCAGAGCUCUCUUGGAUUUGACACAGCUCCUUGUUCCUUCCUGCUUCCGAGGAGGAUUCACAUGAGUGGAAGCAGCUCCUGGUAGAAAUGGUCCCUCAUCACGCCAUCUGCAAUUCCGUGAAGGAAACGUCUGCUCUGCUGAGCUGCCAUUCCGGGACGACGUUGGAGGAGGUCAACGAGGCCCCAGCUGCGGGGACUCUGCUCAAAUGGAAACUCCAUUCUCUGCUCUCUGACUCAGAUCCCUCCUGGGUCUCUGGUUUACUCCAUUUCCCCCCACUUCCCUCCUCUGGUCUCAUUUUAAAUAGAAUCCACCAGCAAUCAGAGCGUGAGGCCAGCAGCCCAAGUUGGAAACGAACCCCAGCUCUAGGGAAGGGGGGCAGGUAGAGGCACGGCUGAAGGACGUCUCCUGCUGGAGACAACAGCCGCCCAGUUCUUCCAAAUGGCUCUACUUUCCCGGCUCUGGCUCUUUCCUUAAUGGCCAUGCCUUCCCUGGAGCCUGGAAACUGGGACAAGGCAGCGUUGUGCAGCAGGAGACGGGCUGCCUAGGCUCCCGGGGACCAGUACGUCCCCUGCAUCUUGGGCAGUUUCUAUCUGAGGAACCAGGACUGAAGGCAUUGAGAACUUAGAGGGGAGGCUUCAUCUCCCUUGCAGACAAUAAGGGUGUUGGAAUGUUCAAGCAGAAGAUGGACGCACCUUUCUGUGUGGCCAUGAGGCAGGCUGAGCAGGAGGCCAUGGCUCAGGGGAGGGUGCUGGUUCUGAUUGGGCGGUGGGUUUGGCGCACCAGGCUGAGAACUGUGACCCAAUAGGUCUUCACUGAUGGAUGGAUCUCAGAGAGCUGACCUAUUCAGAUCUCCCAGGUGACACAGCAGUCUCAUAGUAGGGGCUUUGUAUGGACCAGAUGUUCUGACUGUUCCAACUGUCCUCUAAAAGGCCGGCGUCGAUUUAAAGCCUCAGGUGAGUACAGACAGGGAAACUUGCAGCCAGUGGGUGGGUGGGCAGAGCCAGAACUCAGCCAAGUCAAUUGACCCCAAAUCCCACAUUGGGUAUUCUGAUCCCCAAACCUGUUUUCAGACUCAAGGUCUACUCAAGGGAGCAACCCUAUCCCUCCAUUCACAGCUAAGUGCUUCUAGGAUUGGGGACUGUGUAGCCACAAUUCCACCCUGUCCUGGGGCAGAUUUAAUCUCCAGAGACUCCUCAAAUGAUUCUCUCAUCUUUGAGACCUUUAAGUGUUGGGUGGUUUGGAGAGCCUUAGGUCGGUAUCUUUGCUUCCACUGUGAAGCUCCUGCAGCAGCAGGGGUGGAAACUUGUGUGCACAGACUGGGAUGUCACAGAACAGGUCAGAGAGACGCCAGUCUGUCAUUUGAAGUAUGAGUCUAAGGGCAGCUCCUUCACACUCUCUAGAGUUCACCAAGCUUCCUUGGAAGUGGGGACAUGAAAAUGUACAAAUGGCACCCGGGUGGCCUCUUCCUCUUGCAGUUUAGUGAGACUUUAGAUAGUUUUGUUGUCAGAGAGCAGGUUCAGUUCCUUUGUAGCUCAGGAUAGCCUUGAACUUGUGACCAUUCUCUUGCUUCAGCAUCCCAAGCGCUGGGAUUAUAGGAGCACAGCACUACAUUAAGCAGUGGAGAGCGAAGGACUUUCACUCCUCAUACCUCCCUGGGUACAGAAAAGGCAGUGUUGGCAGGGUAUGGGGUUCCUGCUGCCAAGUCCCCGACUUGACCCUGCCUCGCCUGGCUUAGGACAAAGCUGGCACUGCUUGUGGUGUAGACAGAGUUGGGAGGAUCAGUCACAGGGUUGAUUCGCAGUGUGAGCUGCUUCCCCGUGACUGUCAUUGUUCACAAAAAACCACACACGACUGAGCUCUUGCAUUGGUGUAUGACGUGGGCACAGUGGAGGUGAUCAAUGAGUGACCAUCAGUGGACCAUCUGCAAAAGGUAGCUGAAUGCCAUUCCUGGGGGCAUCUGGGGGCAUUUCAAGAGGACACCAUCUUGGAGCUGGCACUGGACAGUGGCUAGCCUUCAGGGAUGGAACAUCUGUCAUGACUUCCUAACUCUGCGCCCAGCAGUAGCUCUCUCAGCGGCCAUCUGGGGACAUCAGAACAAGCACACAUAGGACAGGGCUGGAAGCCAAGCCUGUCUGGAGCAGAAGCCACAGAUAAAUCUACCCUAACAGGAUGGGACAAAUGACCAUGGCUUUCAGUGGAGACUGACCCUCGUACCUCACACAUCCUCAGCACAUGCUUUCCCACUGACUAACAUCCCAGCCCUACGAGUGUCCUCAAACCCAACAGCAUCAUAGAACAUCUCAACAGAGCUGGGUUCCGUGUGGAAGCCGAGAAAACUUACUUCAGUUAUAGAAGCUCAAAAAGGAGAAAACUCACUUCAGAUCCGGAAGCUUAAAAAUUGAAAGUUUUUCUUUGUGAGAGCUCAGGGAGUGCUCAGCGUAGAUGAACACCGGGCCACUACCCACUUCAUCUCUGAUGGACACUGAAGCCUGUUUAGUUGGUGGACAUAUUGUACAAGUGACAUUCAGGGUCACUUGUCAUAUCCUGGAACACAAAUACAGGUCCUCACUUCUUUCCUACAGUCUCGAUUGGAGUGAAGAGAAAGGGAAACUUCUGAGACGGUCAGAUGUCCUUCCAAAAAGCCGCGACCCUCUGGCAUCCUCCCUGAAGGACAGGACCCUGGCCCACACGCCUCUGAAAGACACCAUCGUUUUCUCGCUCCAGAUGUCUCUCACACACACUUAGUCCAUAUCUUAAUUUUAUCUGCUGAUCCCCAGUGGUGUUCCUUGCUUGUCUGAGGUUGUAUUACACUCCCUCCCCACUCCCCCCCCCCCAGUCCCCAAGGCUUCCUGCCUGUGAUUGUGUCUUACCCCAUGAUCUUCCCCUUGUCUUUAUUGUCACAUGUCAGCUUCAUCGUUUCCAUAUAUUGCUGUCCUUUCUCAGCUACAUCUGUUUGCAUGACUUCCAAUGACAUUUUUAUCAGAUAUGUCAUUUUUUUCCCCUCCAGUACCUGGAUUAGAGCUGUUGCUUGGAGCAGGAAUUCUUGUUUUUAACUUUUCUGCUCGUGGUUGCUUUCUGGCUUCACUUACAUCAGACCACAGUCACCUCAGAAUGGUUUAUUAAAUCUGUCAAUUCAAGGGCAUUUGAGAAAGCUGACCUUUAUCUUGUGUCAAAUAUCACAUGUUCUUGGGGCCCGGUCUGGAUUUUAUUCUUUUGCUGUGUCGGCUUCUCCUGUAUGGCAACCCUUUCUUUUGAGACUAGUUCCUAAGCUUUGCCUGCUAACCCAGGGGCAGCCGGUAGGUUGUUCCUUAUGCCUUAGUGGGUAGGCUCGUUUCUUCCUUAUCUCAAAUAGGCUGAAGUUGGUAAGUUGAGCUCUUGGUUGAAAUUGCAUGGCUCCUACCAAAUUAUUUGGGAAGAAUGUGCAUGCUUACAUGACAUGAUGUUUAACUGCAGUCAAGUUGACCUCAGUAGGGAUCAACGGGAGAACUGGACAUUCAUUGUUUCUGGGCACUGUGUCUGUGAGGGCAUUUCUACUUGUAAGUAAAAUGCAUAUUGCAGUACCUGUGGUGGCCAGGAGAGGGUGUCAGCUUCUCUGGAGCUGGAGUGAUAGGUGAUUUUGAAGCUCCGGAUAGUGCAGAAAAUAGUUCUUAGGUCCUCCGCAAGAAAAUCAAGUGCUUCUCACCCCUGAGCCACCUCUCCAGCCCCAGGAAGAUGGUGUUAGCUGUGGCUAUGUGUGGUGCAGUGGAUCACUGACAUUUGUUCCUUGCCCAAGGCUCUGCCCUUGUGGUCGGCACCCAUGUUCCCUCUGGUUAUGAGUUUACACCAUGAAACCUCUUUUGUCUAGCACCGGUGAUGUUGCUCUAGUAUCCCUCCGUCACAGGACAGUGACCGCUCAUGGAUCACAGGGACAGCUCUUGCUCACUUCCAUCUUAUACUGAUCUCCUCUCUGGGUCUCAAGGUGCUAUGUGGACCACUCUCCUGGAGAUUUGACCUUGUGGAUGACAGACAGUAGACAAGCAUGUAGAUUGUGUAGCAAUACUAAAGAGAGUAGCAGCACACGGAGAGGGUGGGAACCUUCUGUGCUGGGCAAUAAAAUAUGGCUCAUACUGAAUAUCAAGUAGGACAUUAGGUCCGUCUGCGGUAGGGUCAUGGAACCACAUGAAAAGAGUCUCGAUGUUAUUAACUCGCUAAAACUUUAGAGUUGAAGUGCAUUUAGCCCAAGGAAUGCCUUUUGUCUAUUGGCAUGCUAACAGGCUUAUUUUCUCCAUGAUCAGUUAAGGCGGGUGAAUAGAUUUCCCAACACUGAGACACCGUUGUGUUUCUGAGAUAAAGCCUGUGGCUGGUGAUGUAUUGGUUUUUUAAGUACCUUGUCGAAAGAGUUUCCAUCUUUUGUGGAGGUUCUAAAAGCUUUUAGACUUGGAAGUAAGAGGUUCCGGCGAGUGCCCUGCACACCUGCCACCUGCUGUCGCAGAGAGCUCAGCCUGCCUUAUUUUUUCCCCUUCAGGCAAUCCCUGGUUAUGUUUUUUUAAAAACAAGCCUUUCUUUGCCACUUAUGCUUCAUCGUGACGUAUUCCAUAUUGUUUUCUUACGAUUAUUGUUCCUUCCCUUUUAUAUUUAGCAGGUUUGUUGCAUUCUUAAAAGAAACAUUUGUCUUCUUUAUCUCCCUCCUUUUUGUUUUUACAGCUUCUUUGAGAUAAGACUGAUGUGUCUGCUUAAUGAAUACCAUAUUUAAUUUUGAAGCAUUUUGACACAUGCAAUGAUGCCUUCGUCACACAGAAACCUUCCACCACCGUUGUCUCCCUAGACUCCCGUAUCUCCUGCUCCCUGCCCAGCUUCCCCACAAGAGGCUACCUGCAACCAGAUCUCUGUCACUGUGCCUGUGUCGGAAGUUUCCCAUAAGUGGGAUCAGACUGUCCUUUUCAUCAUCAGUGAGUGUGACAUUUUCAAUGCAUCUGAGUGUGACAACUUCAAUGCAUCUGUCCUGCAGACUGCACAGAGCUGACUCUUUUCUUUGCUGACUAAUACUCUAUCCAGUUGUCGGCUUGUUUAAAGACACGCAUGCAGUCCAGUGUUGUCUUCUGUAAAGGUGCUAUGAACUUUGCCCCACACAAGUCUUUCUGGAAGUUAACUGUUCCCCUGUGAAUAUCUGCGAGUCAGUGGGUUACACUACACAGUAGGCACCAUGUGUAACUUCCCAGCACACACACACACACACACACACACACACACACACACGCAUCUACAUACAGACCUAUUCACACACAGGUAUAUAAACAGUAUUGACUUCCAAAGAAUAUAUACAGAAGAAUAUCAUUAUCAGCCACUCACUACAGGGCCUGUUUGUGUUCUUUUAAUGCUUGAAGAUGCAGAGAAACUUUUCAGAGCUCAGUCCCCAACCUAAUGAUUUUGGUAAGUGUCUUUAAUGCUUUCUCUUGUUUAUUUAGUAGGAGGCCACACCCCCUAAUCAUGCCACGCCCCAUGGGCCAAGCAUUCAAACACACGAGUGUUAGGUGUCUUCCUCUUUCUAUUCUCCAAACUGCUUUUUGAAAUAAGGAUUUCUUACUAAAUCUAGUUCUUAGAGAUUCAGCUAGACUGCCUCACCAGGGAUCCCCCUUUCCCUGCCUCCCAAGUGCUGGACUUACAGUUGUGCAUGGCCAUGCCAGCCUUGGGAGCUAGGGAUCCAAGCUCAGAGCCUCAUGUUUGUGUGGUAAGCACUUUACUCCCCCCCCCCCACCCACAGUUUCUAAUGUCUUUAAGCCGACUUCAAUUAUGGGGACACAAAUCACACUCAUUUCAUGAUAUUGGUAGCUCCUGUGCCAGGCACUAACAACAUUUUAAAAGAUUUAUUUAUUUUUAUCGUCUAUGUAUGAGUGUUUUGCCUGAAUGUGUAUCUGUGUACCUUGGGUAUGCCCGGUGCCUGCCGCCAUCACUAAGGGACAUCAGAUGCCUUAGAACUGGAGGCAGGAAUGGUUCUGAGCUGCCACAUGCGAGCUGGGAAUCAAAUCCAGCAGCAAAUGCUCUUAACCACUGAGCCACCUUUCCAGCAUCCCAAAACACUCUUCUUCCCGACAAGCCCCUGGCCACAUAGGUCUGAAUGUCGGACCCCAGGCCUGUCUGUCACUGGAUCUUGAAGACAUUGAACUUUUAUGGCUAGUUAAUCAGCGAGCAUCUCCAAUUUUGUUCUUUUUCAAAAUUGCUUUAACUAUCUCCUUUCAUUUCUACGUACACUUGUAGAAUCAAGGGAGCAAUCUCUUUAAAUAAAUGGGGAAAAAACAAAUAUAUAUUAAUAUGUGCAGCAACAUUUUCCAAGACCACAGUGGCUGAGUAGAUGAGUUUAGCAGAUUUUUAUCUCAGCAGUAGGCUCUCUCCAAGCCACGAGCAAGUACAUCUUCCAUCUAUGUGCGACUUAAGGCAAUUCUAGCAGUAGCUUGCCAUAGCAUCUUGCCCAUCUUUUAUCAAAAUUAUCUUUAGCCUCAUGCUAUUUAAGUAUUGCUGUUUUUCCAUUGCAAGCUCCGGGGACACAUCAUUACUUUGUGGAAAUAAAGCUGGUUCUUAUAUAUUGGCAUGUGGCAGGGAGUCACAUAUCAAUUCCAAUGAUGGCUCUGUGGGUUACUCGAGGUUUGCUAGACAGAAUACUAUGUACUCCGAUGACAACCUCGCUCAUUCUCUCCCAAUCCAUAUGCCUUUAUUUUCUGUGCCAAGCUAAACUGGCUCAAAAUUCAAGUUCAACACAGACAUGAGUGGUGAGACAGAUGUUUUUGCAUGCUUCCAGUCUCAGGGGAUACGCAUCUCUACCCCAGUGAUGUCAGACAGUUGGCCUCGCUUCCACCUUUAUGAAUCUGGGGUAGCGCCAUUCUAUUUCCAGAUUCAUUUAGUCUUCUGGUGAAUGGAUGCUGGAUUCCUUCAAGGACAUUUGCUACAUUUUCUAAACUGAUAUUCUCUUGUGUUUCUCAGCCAGCAAAUAUGAUGGAUUGUGGUUGAAUGCUUUACAAAGGUUAGCCAAGUCUAGUAGUCUUGAGGAAAACUCACUGGAGUCUUCUCCUAGACUGGUGUGUGUGUGUGUGUGUGUGUGUGUGUGUGUGUGUGUGUGUGUAGAUGUGCAUGUGGUUUCUCUCUUUCCACUUCUAAAAUAUAACAAGUAGAGACAUCUUCCCCCUGAUGUUGGUGUUGAAUCCCAUGCCUGUUCAAUCAGUCUGGCUCAUGGCUCUCAAAUUUCACUGCUGUCUCCUCACAGCUAGUGUACGAUAUGAUUCAGAGACUCCACACCUACGUACUUACCAAAAGCAAAGCACAUUCCACCAGAAACCGUAGCGCUGUCCCACCCCAGCCAGUGUGCUGAAUACACAGCUGAGAGCUGCCCCAUCUCCUCAGGGGGUGGGCAUCUGAGUACCCCACCACCACCCUGUGUACUCAGCAAUGAAAAAUGAGAUACACCAAACCAGAAAUGCAUUUGAAACCAAAAACUGGCAAAUUAGUAGUGACAGAUUCCAAUCAGAAGAAGUUACGGGCGGCAUGGCUCUUUGCAGGUCAUUCCCUAGCAGGACAGCACAGAAGAACUGGACUUCCCCCAGAGAGAGAGCAGAGUGACAGUGGCGGGAGGAGUCUGUGGGAAUGUCCUAUGCAAGGAUAGACCUGAACCAAUCUACAUCAGCACUCUGCCUGUGACCAGGUUCUUGGAGCUUUGAAGAUGUCACCGUGGAUCAACUCCAUGAUGGGUGUAAGGGUGCUCUAACUUUAUACAGCUGCCUCUCAGUCUAUAUUCCAAAUGAAAGGCUCAGCUAGCAAUGUCACCACCCCUCUACCUCUUGCUUCCAAGGAGUUCUCUCUGUUUGUUUCAUACCUAGCUCUCUUCACUGAGGUAUUGAGGACAAAAGAAAAAAAAGGAAGUUUGAAAACUGCAGCCAAUGGUGAGUGGCUAUCCUUAUGUGGGGCAUCUAUAUUACCCCCUCCAGGGUUUAGGGGACAUUGUGAGAGGGGAAAGAAAGAAUGUAAGAGAUGGCAGAUGGGGAGGAGUGUUAUGAAAUGCCAUCUUCUGGACAUGACAUGACUGUCACAGUUAUGAAUUCACCGCAGCUCUGGUUACCCACAGGG